GGCAGAAGUCACCUGAGUCAGGAGAAAUAUAUAGUCAAUAGAAAUAGACCCCAAGAUGAAACAACUAUUGAAAUUAAAAGAAAUGUUCUUUGUAGCUUCUAAAACUAUGCUUGGAAUAUGAAAAUCAUACAUCAUAAUGAUGGCACAUAAGAGGAAUCUCAGCAAAGUAAACUGAAAGUAAGAUAAAUGGAAACACAACUACUCUUAGAUAUAUUCUGGCAAAAUUACUAAAAAUCAAAGAUAGAGAAAAUGCCUCAAAAGCACCCAGAAAAAAAAUUACUUCUAGGCAAUCAAUGGUAGAAAAAAAUGCAAGGCAGAAUUCAACGGAUCAACAUUUUUUACAUGCUAAAAAUGUUAACCAGAAAUUCUAUACCCAGUGAAAUUACCUCACAAAAAUAAAGGCAAAAUAGCAAUUUCUGGAUAUGGAUGAAAAAUGAAAGAAUAUAUUGCUUCACCCAGUUCAAGAAAUGCAAAAAGGAGUUAAUUCUUCAGACUGAAAGGAUAUGGCACAACGUGAAAUUCUAAGCUAUAAAAGGAAUGAGGAACACCAAAAAUGAUGUAUCCAUGGAGAUCCUAGAGAUUAAAAUGUGCAUUCUGGAUCUAUUCAGGAUGCCAUAAUAUGUCUCUGAAGGAAAAAUGGGUACCAGAAAUAACUACGGAGACCUAUUUGAGUCAGCUUUUGAGCUACUCAAGGUAAGAAACUUUUUAAGAGAUGC
Molecule: long non-coding RNA, 716 nt
Organism: Felis catus (domestic cat)
Lineage: Eukaryota; Metazoa; Chordata; Mammalia; Carnivora; Felidae
Exons: 3
Source: RefSeq, a predicted model, not a curated record